GACGAACGCUGGCGGCGUGCUUAACACAUGCCAGUCGAACGGAAAGGCCCUGCUUUUGUGGGGUGCUCGAGUGGCGAACGGGUGAGUAACACGUGAGUAACCUGCCCCUGACUUUGGGAUAACUUCAGGUAACUCGGGCUAAUACCGGAUAGGAGCUCUUGCUGCUUGGUGUUGGUUGGCAAGUUUCGGCGGUUGGGGAUGGGCUCGCGGCUUAUCUGCUUGUUGGGGGGGUGGUGGCUUACCAAGGCUUUGACGGGUAGCCGGCCUGAGAGGGUGACCGGCCACAUUGGGACUGAGAUAGGGCCCAGACUCCUACGGGAGGCAGCGGGGGGGAAUAUGGCAAAAUGGGCGGAAGCCGGAUGCAGCACGGCCGGGGGCGGGAUAACGGCCUUCGGGUGGUAAACCGCUUUCGCCUGUGACGAAGCGGGGGUGACGGUAAUGGGUAAAGAAGCACCGGCUAACUACGUG
Molecule: ribosomal RNA, 468 nt
Filed under: uncultured bacterium
Lineage: Bacteria
Description: partial 16S ribosomal RNA
Rfam family: Bacterial small subunit ribosomal RNA
Source: RNAcentral